Molecule: ribosomal RNA, 658 nt
Filed under: Phlegmacium boreidionysae
Lineage: Eukaryota; Fungi; Basidiomycota; Agaricomycetes; Agaricales; Cortinariaceae
Description: eukaryotic LSU rRNA
Rfam family: 5.8S ribosomal RNA (bases 280-433)
Source: RNAcentral
GUAACAAGGUUUCCGUAGGUGAACCUGCGGAAGGAUCAUUAUUGAAAUAAACCUGAUGGGUUGUUGCUGGUUCUCUAGGGAGCAUGUGCACGCUUGUCAUCUUUAUAUCUCCACCUGUGCACCUUUUGUAGACCAGGAUAUCUCUCUGAGUGCUAGCCACUCAGGUUUGAGGAUUGACUUUAUGUCUUUCCUUACAUUUCCAGGCCUAUGUUUCUUCAUAUACCCCAAUGUAUGUCUUAGAAUGUAUUCAAUGGGCCUUUGUGCCUAUAAAAUCUAUACAACUUUCAGCAACGGAUCUCUUGGCUCUCGCAUCGAUGAAGAACGCAGCGAAAUGCGAUAAGUAAUGUGAAUUGCAGAAUUCAGUGAAUCAUCGAAUCUUUGAACGCACCUUGCGCUCCUUGGUAUUCCGAGGAGCAUGCCUGUUUGAGUGUCAUUAAUAUAUCAACCUCUUCAGCUUUUUUGUUUGACGAGUGUUGGAUGUGGGGGUUUGUUUUGCUGGUCUUUUUUUUAAAGAGGUCAGCUCCCCUGAAAUGCAUUAGCGGAAACAUUUGCGGAUCGUUCAUUGGUGUGAUAAUUAUCUACGCUAUUGACGUGAAGCAGUUCAGCUUCUAACAGUCCAUUGACUUGGACAAUUUUCAUUAAUGUGACCUCAAAUCAG